Molecule: ribosomal RNA, 253 nt
Filed under: uncultured bacterium
Lineage: Bacteria
Description: partial 16S ribosomal RNA
Rfam family: Bacterial small subunit ribosomal RNA
Source: RNAcentral
UACGUAGGGUGCAAGCGUUAAUCGGAAUUACUGGGCGUAAAGCGUGCGCAGGCGGCUUUGCAAGACAGAUGUGAAAUCCCCGGGCUUAACCUGGGAACUGCAUUUGUGACUGCAUGGCUAGAGUGCGGCAGAGGGGGAUGGAAUUCCGCAUGUAGCAGUGAAAUGCGUAGAUAUGCGGAGGAACACCGAUGGCGAAGGCAAUCCCCUGGGCCUGCACUGACGCUCAUGCACGAAAGCGUGGGGAGCAAACAGG